This 338-nucleotide ribosomal RNA is filed under the name uncultured prokaryote. RNAcentral's name for it is "partial 16S ribosomal RNA". It matches the Rfam family "Bacterial small subunit ribosomal RNA", at positions 26 to 352 of the family's 1533-position model. The record is from RNAcentral.
AGGACGAACGCUGGCGGCGUGCCUAACACAUGCAAGUCGAACGAGGCCCAUCCGGUAGCAAUACUGGAGAAGGUCAAGUGGCGAACGGGUGAGUAGCACGUGAGCAACCUACCCCGAAGACCGGGACAACACCGGGAAACCGGUGCUAAUACUGGAUAUCCCCCUCUGGGAUCGCAUGGUCCGGGGAGGAAAUGGAUUCCGCUUCGGGAGGGGCUCGCGGCCUAUCAGCUUGUUGGUGAGGUAACGGCUCACCAAGGCUUCGACGGGUAGCUUGGGUCUGGAGAGGACGAUCAGCCACACUGGGACCAGACACGGCCCAGACUCCUACGGGAGGCAGC